AGAGUUUGAUCAUGGCUCAGAAUCAACGCUGGCGGCGUGCCUAACACAUGCAAGUCGCACGAGAAAGUGGAGCAAUCCAUGAGUAAAGUGGCGCACGGGUGAGUAACACGUGAAUUAUCUACCUCCGAGUGGGGAAUAACUGAGAGAAAUCUUAGCUAAUACCGCAUAACACUUACGAGUCAAAGCAGCAAUGCGCUUGGAGAGGAGUUCGCGGCCGAUUAGUUAGUUGGCGGGGUAAUGGCCCACCAAGACGAUGAUCGGUAUCCGGCCUGAGAGGGCGCACGGACACACUGGAACUGAAACACGGUCCAGACUCCUACGGGAGGCAGCAGUGGGGAAUUUUGCGCAAUGGGGGAAACCCUGACGCAGCAACGCCGCGUGGAGGAUGAAAUAUCUUGGUAUGUAAACUCCUUUCGAUGGGGAAGAUUAUGACGGUACCCAUAGAAGAAGCCCCGGCUAACUUCGUGCCAGCAGCCGCGGUAAUACGAGGGGGGCAAGCGUUGUUCGGAUUUAUUGGGCGUAAAGGGUGCGUAGGCGGUUUGGCAAGUCUUGUGUGAAAUCUUCGGGCUCAACCCGAAGCCUGCACAAGAAACUGCCGGGCUUGAGUAUGGGAGAGGUGAGUGGAAUUUCCGGUGUAGCGGUGAAAUGCGUAGAUAUCGGAAGGAACACCUGUGGCGAAAGCGGCUCACUGGACCAUAACUGACGCUGAUGCACGAAAGCUAGGGGAGCAAACAGGAUUAGAUACCCUAGUAGUCC
Molecule: ribosomal RNA, 756 nt
Filed under: uncultured bacterium
Lineage: Bacteria
Description: bacterial SSU rRNA
Rfam family: Bacterial small subunit ribosomal RNA
Source: RNAcentral